This is a long non-coding RNA of Felis catus (domestic cat), 1535 nucleotides long. RefSeq lists it as uncharacterized. The record is from RefSeq and is a predicted model, not a curated record. NCBI's taxonomy places the organism in Eukaryota, Metazoa, Chordata, Mammalia, Carnivora, Felidae. The transcript has 3 exons.
UCUCCCACAGAGAGAUAAGAAGCCCAUGGCUGGAGGGAACCGGUCUCUUCUUUUCAUUGUCUCCUAUCAUCUAGUCCUGUGCCUGGCACAAGCAUUUGCUUUGCACCUGUCAGAUGAAUGAAUGCAUGCACAAAAAUGGCAAGGAAUACAGAUAUGUGAAAAUCCUUUCAAUGUUAAAAAUCAUCAAACACGGAUCACAGGAACUGAGGAAUGGGAGCUGUUGAAAGAGUUGCCAUUAACAUUAAAUCAGCCUAUGAGGAGGCCAAGAUGGCAAGAAACUAAAGUCUCUGGCCAACAGACAGUGAGGAGGUGAAGUCUGCCAAUAACCAUGAAAGUGAACUUGCAUCUAGAUCCUUCGACCUGGUCAAGUCUUGAGAUGACUACAGCACCAGCUGGCAUCUUGACUGUAACCUCUAGAGAGACUCUGAGCCAGAAACAAUCAGGGAAGUCUCCUGAAUGAGUUUAAGAUUUAAAAGAAAAAGAAAACAAGGAAAACAAAGGGAAGCCAACAAAUCUGUAAAAGGCAAGAACAGUAACAACGAUAUGGCCAAAACAAGCACUCAUGAUUAAUACAGGUGAGUCAAAUGCUCGGUUAUUUCCCUCCUGAUUGCUAGAAUUAUCUCUGAAAAAAAAAUCACUGAAUCUCCUCUUUGAAGAGUUUAUAGAUAAGUGAAACUAUUUCAUGGAAAUGCUAACCUUAACAUAAAAUGUGGUCUCUUUCACUUCAAAAAACAAAAACAAAGCAAAGGUAAAAUAAGACAAAACAGCUCAGUUUAAUUUCAAACGUUAAUAUAUUUUCUAUUUUAUAUUGAACAUAUGCAUCUGUAACCCCUCAUUUGCAGCAACUAUCACAUCCUCAUAAAAGGGGCAAAAUUUGUAAGAUGCCUCUUAAAAUAAAUAUUCUUUUUUAUAAAAUAAUAAAACUUCAAAUAAAUAUUCUUUACACUAAACAAUAUGUUGAAAAAAUUAGAAAAUAAAGGUUGAAUUUUACUGUAACUGUACAAUAUACAUGAAGUCCAAAGGGAAAUCAGAGUCUUACAAUAAAGGCUUUUCUGUAAGGCAAAAUACAAUCUAAAAACAUACUGAUUGAUUCACAUUCUUCCGAAUGUACAACAUAUUAGUAUAAUAUUUUGUGACUGUGCCAUAUAGCAUGACACAACGUGUUUUUCACAGUUGCAAAUAUUAUUGUAUAUACAAAAAUAUAGCACAUUAUCUCUGGAGAAAACAAUGGGGAAAAAAAAGUCAUCUGCUAAUUUACAAAUUUUGCAAGUACUAUUCACAAACAAAAACUUUGCCUGGGAGUGUCUGUUGUUUUAGCUGAUGCAACACGUGGGUCCCCAAGUUCUGUAUCCCAUACCUUGAGCUCCAUUAGCUGAGUUCUAACAAGCGUAUCAGUUAAAACGGCACAUGGACAAAAAGCAUUUCACUGCAAACAGCGAAGGCUAUCCCAACCCUCUAUUAACAGUGCCAAGAUUCUAACUGUUUAGUUGGUUGCAUAUGCGUUAAAAAAAAAAACAAACAACAAAAGAAGACAA